UGGUCGGGAUAGCUCAG
Molecule: transfer RNA, 17 nt
Filed under: Paraboea variopila
Lineage: Eukaryota; Viridiplantae; Streptophyta; Magnoliopsida; Lamiales; Gesneriaceae
Description: partial tRNA-Phe
Source: RNAcentral